UUGUUCUGGAAAGUUCGAAGUUCAUUUUUCCUGCUCUACUUUCUACCUAUAUAAGGAAGAGGACGCUUGGUACACAAAGAACAAGAAUUAAAAACAGUUCAAAGACACUUUCUCCAUAUCUGGAAGAACUGCAAGUGACCAGAAGAUUAAGCAUAUAAAUGUUAUAAAGAAAUCGUGUUAUCCAGUAAAAAAAUGAUGUUUAUUUUGCUUUGAAAAGUUUUAUUGUUGAAAUCUAGAGUCUAAACUCUUUUGCUUGGUUCUCCAGAGAAGUUCUAAUUUUUAAAGAAAACAUAUACCAACCAGUUAGAGGGGUGUUUCCGAGAUUAUUUCAUUUUUCAUUCGGAGUUGUGGAACUGGCGAAAUGAGAACUUUGAGGCUGUCACACUGGAUUUCGAAGAUAGAGAAGGAUGUAGGACGUUUUUAUGAAGGGCUAGCAUUAAGCCGGAUUUUAGGAGGGUAGUUAGGUAAAAACUAAAAUAAUGGGGGCAAAAAAAUAACUUGACGGAUCAGAUAGCUAUUUUUAGAAUAUAGUAGAUUUGUAUUUCUCGUUAUAUAUACAUGUGGAUUCAACCAUUUUGGCCACCAAUUUCAAAAAAACCACAAAAACAUGCAAAAUAGAUUAGACGGAAUAGUUCAACGAUAAUCAGAAUGACUUUUCUAAAUCUACUGUAGGGGCACACUAUGCAUGUUUAGAAUAAACUCAUACACUUCAGUGGAAGGCGCCACUUUAUUUUUUUUAUUAUAAAAUAUGAUUCACCGGCUCUACACACUAUUUCGCCAAUCAUUCGUGGUUACUUGGACUCUUAGUUCAAGACUUGUUGCCGCUUUCGAACCUGAUUUAGAACACAGUGUCCGAAACGUCGCGUUCAAUUAUUUUAAAUUCAAAACAUGAUCUACAAGAAAUGUAUGAUGAUUUGAAAUAGGUAACAUCAUAUGAUUGAUAAUUGUCAUUAAAAACCAGUUGAAAGAUUCUAAUGACAUGUUCCCAUGAACAAUCUGAGAGUUACUUUAAUUGCUUCAAAGAUAAUUGCGUCUGUAGAAAAAAAAAGUUGAAAAACGGAAAUUAAAGUAUUGUAAUUUGUAGAGAUAAAAACUGAUCUAUCGUCAAUGUCAUCAGAACGAACAUUGCCAGUUAUACCAUAUAAGUCAAUAGCAAGAUAUAGAAGAAAUAAAGUUACGGACAUAUUAUAACACAAAAAAGGCGGUAAAAAACUAGAUAUUUUUUUCUGUUAACUGAUUCGAAGGAUAAGGGGAAUUUACACACAAUAUAUACUUAUGGUCACGACCCAAUACGAUCAUGCUUUGAAAUAAAUCAAGACAGGUUUUGCAGAAAAUGAAAUUCAGUUUGUCUCUUUACACUUUAAAAAUGUUUUUGUCUAGUUUCUUAUGGGAAGCAUUCGAUUCAACAACAUCACUCAAAUUAAUAAAUUGAAAAUAGCUGACACAUUCAAAUAACGCGCUGCUUCUCACGUGUCUAAAUAAUGACAAGUGACAGAAACAAAUAAAAAAGAAAUAAA
Diorhabda carinulata is the source of this 1517-nucleotide long non-coding RNA. RefSeq lists it as uncharacterized. The transcript is spliced from 3 exons. The record is from RefSeq and is a predicted model, not a curated record. NCBI's taxonomy places the organism in Eukaryota, Metazoa, Arthropoda, Insecta, Coleoptera, Chrysomelidae.